Molecule: long non-coding RNA, 728 nt
Organism: Bombyx mori (domestic silkworm)
Lineage: Eukaryota; Metazoa; Arthropoda; Insecta; Lepidoptera; Bombycidae
Exons: 2
Source: RefSeq, a predicted model, not a curated record
GAUUUAUAAUUGGAACCCUAAAAUCGCACAUUGUUACAAAGAAAUUAAAUAGUAGAUCAACCCGUGUUUUUGUUCUGAUUAAUAUAAAGUUAUGUGGGCACAAUGUGUUGUGUUCUUUUUCGAUCCAGAUAAGUAAAUCCGUCAAAAUGGCGAAUCUGCAACAAAAAAGAAAACUAUGAAAGUGGUCUAGAAACAUGAGGCCUUUGCAAUGAAAAAAUAAGGUAUCAUUUUAAAGAGAAGAUGUUUGGCCCUUAAUUAAAAUCCGAGAAUCUCUGAAUGUGAACAUCCAAGUCAAACUUCAGAUCCCAAGAUAUUGCACCUUUUUAUUGUGUACAAGAAAACGUAAAAGUCACUUAAUACUGUUUUGUUCAAAAAUAAAAAAAAACCCUUUCCGAUUUGACGGUGGCUGAUAGCAUGAAAAUAUUUCUGCGAACCUUCCAAUGCUUUUCAUUCAUCUAAUACUUUGUUUUUACAACGAAAAAUGGAACAAAAAAGAAGCCAGACUAAUCGGCAAUCGGAAUAAUAGCAUUUUUAUAAACACCCCUUUAUAUACAUAACACAAUAUAUUAAAUUUCGACGACAAUAUAUUAUAUUUUUUUGCCUUAUUCGCUUAGUGGCUAUUCCAAAUGCUAGCGGACGGAGGUUUCGUCAAGACUAACCUUUCGCAGCAACGAAAACUGUGACCUAUUUAGACCCUCCUAAAGAUUAAAUUAAAAUUUUAGACCGUG